CCUGCCCAUCAGAAGGGGAUAACACUUGGAAACAGGUGCUAAUACCGUAUAACAAUCGAAACCGCAUGGUUUUGAUUUGAAAGGCGCUUUCGGGUGUCGCUGAUGGAUGGACCCGCGGUGCAUUAGCUAGUUGGUGAGGUAACGGCUCACCAAGGCCACGAUGCAUAGCCGACCUGAGAGGGUGAUCGGCCACAUUGGGACUGAGACACGGCCCAAACUCCUACGGGAGGCAGCAGUAGGGAAUCUUCGGCAAUGGACGAAAGUCUGACCGAGCAACGCCGCGUGAGUGAAGAAGGUUUUCGGAUCGUAAAACUCUGUUGUUAGAGAAGAACAAGGAUGAGAGUAACUGUUCAUCCCUUGACGGUAUCUAACCAGAAAGCCACGGCUAACUACGUGCCAGCAGCCGCGGUAAUACGUAGGUGGCAAGCGUUGUCCGGAUUUAUUGGGCGUAAAGCGAGCGCAGGCGGUUUCUUAAGUCUGAUGUGAAAGCCCCCGGCUCAACCGGGGAGGGUCAUUGGAAACUGGGAGACUUGAGUGCAGAAGAGGAGAGUGGAAUUCCAUGUGUAGCGGUGAAAUGCGUAGAUAUAUGGAGGAACACCAGUGGCGAAGGCGGCUCUCUGGUCUG
RNAcentral lists this ribosomal RNA (625 nucleotides) under uncultured Bacilli bacterium. RNAcentral describes it as "bacterial SSU rRNA". It matches the Rfam family "Bacterial small subunit ribosomal RNA", at positions 125 to 736 of the family's 1533-position model. Lineage: Bacteria; Bacillati; Bacillota; Bacilli. The record is from RNAcentral.